RNAcentral lists this ribosomal RNA (253 nucleotides) under uncultured bacterium. Its description in RNAcentral is "partial 16S ribosomal RNA". It matches the Rfam family "Bacterial small subunit ribosomal RNA", at positions 524 to 776 of the family's 1533-position model. The record is from RNAcentral.
UACGAAGGGGGCUAGCGUUGCUCGGAACGACUGGGCGUAAAGGGCGCGUAGGCGGAUGGCACAGUCAGAUGUGAAAUUCCUGGGCUUAACCUGGGGGCUGCAUUUGAUACGUGUUGUCUUGAGUGAGGAAGAGGGUCGUGGAAUUCCCAGUGUAGAGGUGAAAUUCGUAGAUAUUGGGAAGAACACCGGUGGCGAAGGCGGCGACCUGGUCCUUAACUGACGCUGAGGCGCGAAAGCGUGGGGAGCAAACAGG